UCAGUUUCAAAAAUCUUCAAAAGGUAUAUUCCUAUGGUUUUUUAGUGAUUUAAGUUAAUAAACAAGUGAAUAAAACUUUCGUAGUGAUUGCAUGUCAGUAUAAUGAUGUUUCUAGGGUUUAUUUUUAAUUUUUGACAAAAAACUAAUUGUUCAUCUUUAUGUGAUUCUAUAACAGCAAGUAGAUCUCAUUUAUUUGAUUGUGAAAGCAUAAUUUAAUGGCUAGAACUAGAGGACGUAUGUUCAUUUUUGUUUGUGAGGAGAUUUUGAAAAUUUCUUAUGAUUGCAUACUUUUUUUAUGAUUUGACUGUUAUUGAAUAUCACACUUCUAGUGAUUGUAUUUUUCAUCACAUUAUGUGUUAGUGAUUCUAUUUAUUAUAGUAUUUCUGUAAUUGCAUACUUGUUUUUUAUGAUUGUAAGUUUCAGCACAUUAUGUGUUAAUCACUAUCUUCUUCAAAUUAUAUUAGUAAUUAUCUGUUUAUAUUUUAGUGAUUGUCAUGCUGAUGGUGAUAACAAAUUGAACGUAUUAUGUUCUCCUAUUUAAACUUCAGUGAUUAAGAGCUAUUGAUUGAACAGCCUAUGUGUGUUUGAGUACUAAGUUGAUUAGCCCAAGCUAAUGAGAAUUCAAUAAUUAAAAUAACAUAGUUGUUAAUUGCUAGUAAUUUUGUAGCCAGAUGUAUACACACAUUAAUGUCCUUAAGACUAUCAGAGGAGGAUAAUUAUAACUUAAAAAUCUAUAUCUAUAUAAGAAACUACUAAGAGUCAUGUGAUUAAUUGUGUACCUUAGGCUUGUAUUAUAGUGAUUGAUUAACUUAUAAUUAUCAUUUCUAUACUUGUUUUGUAGUGAUUGCACGCUCUUAUGAUAAAAACAGAGUAUAUCAUCACCUUAGUGCUAGCAUAUAUAGCAUUACUACCAUACAUGUUGAUUUAGUGUCAAAACAUGUAACUAAAUAUUUGGUGGCAUUCACUAUGUUAUUAGAUUCAAAACUGUUGUUUUGAACUUGAAAUUUCUUUUUUAAUGUGAUAUAAUACUAUAUCUGCAUAAACUUAAAUGGCGUACACAUGUGCAAUAUUAUGUUCAUUAGUGCAUAAACUACAAAACAUUGAUGCAACUUUUUGAUUCUAUGUUUGUGUUAUAGUGAUUGUAGCCUUUUAUUACAAAGUGAUUGUAACCUCUAGUGGGACUAUGUUGAAUGGGGGUGGGAGUGUCCUUAGGGGCAUGAUGACUCUUAGGGGACGAGUGAUAACUUCUAGGGCGGGGGAUGAUGAUUUUUAGAGGGCGGGUGAUGACUUCUAGGGGGUUGAUGAUUUUUACAGGGAGGGUGAUGAUUUCUAGGGGGCAUGAUGACUUUUACAGGGCGGGUGAUGACUUCUAGGGGGAUGAUGACUUUUACAGGGCGCUUGAAGGCUUCUAGGGGGGUUAACUAAUUUAGUUUUUAUUUUGUGGUUUUUGUUCCAAUUGUUUAUAGUGGUUAUAUACACGUUGAAGAAGUUGAAAUCUGUUCUCGAUGAGUUUAUAAAGGAAUUUUGUAAUGAUUUGUAAAAUACCUUGCUUCUUGUGCAAUACCAAUUUGUUUAAAAACAACAUGAUAUUGUGCUCUGUCUCUUUUAGUUGAUUGUAGAAUUAUAUAUUAUAGUGACUCUGAUAAGAAACUACUAUAUAUUAGAGUCAUGUGAUCUUUUAUUUUUAACUUAGGCAUGUACAAUAGUGAUUGUAGGCUUUCCAUGACCAACUCCAAUCAAUGAUGAAGAUGUAAGAAUUACUCCAACUUUUAUACUUUUAUUAUCCUACUCAAUAAAGACAGUUGUCUAAUAAUAGUAUAUUUGUACUUGAUACUGCAGCAUGGCCAGCGAAAUCACAUUAUCAGACUCUGAGUCAAAUAUAACAAUGUGAUUUUAUCAUCGUCACUGAAUCUGAAGAGAUCAGAAAUCAUGAAAGUGGGGAAGCAAAUAUAUAUUGAUAUGGUGCCAAAGAAACUGAUCAAUUUUGCCAUCCAAUUUGCACAAGCGUCUCAAGAAGAAGACAUAGCAGCAACUACUCAACCAAAGCCUGCUAAGAAGAAGACUGUCAGAUUUGCAAAAAACCUCACCAGCAAUUUUAAUG
RNAcentral lists this long non-coding RNA (2101 nucleotides) under Daucus carota (carrot). RNAcentral describes it as "long non-coding RNA (DCAR_LNC003673)". Lineage: Eukaryota; Viridiplantae; Streptophyta; Magnoliopsida; Apiales; Apiaceae. The record is from RNAcentral.